AUUGAACGCUAGCGGGAUGCCUUACACAUGCAAGUCGAACGGAGUGGCGAACGGGGGCGUAAUGUAUCGGAACGUGACCAGUAGCGGUGGAUAACUACGCGAAAGCGUAGCUAAUACCGCAUACUAUUGGAGCGGCCGGUAUCGAGUUAGCUAGAUGGUGGGGGAACGGCUACCCAAGGCGACGAUCCGUAGCUGGUUUGAGAGGACGACCAGCCACACGGGGACUGAGACACGGCCCAGACUCCUACGGGAGGCAGCAGUGGGGAAUUUUUGACAAUGGGCGAAACCCUGAUGCAGCCAUCCCGCGUGUAUGAUGAAGGCCUUCGGGUUGUAAAGUACUUUCGGCAGGGAAGCGGUACCUGCAGAAUAAGCACCGGCUAACUACGUGCCAGCAGCCGCGGUAAUAC
RNAcentral lists this ribosomal RNA (407 nucleotides) under uncultured bacterium. Its description in RNAcentral is "partial 16S ribosomal RNA". It matches the Rfam family "Bacterial small subunit ribosomal RNA", at positions 30 to 526 of the family's 1533-position model. The record is from RNAcentral.